GGAAAUAGCUUCAAUUUAACAAUAUCAUUGUCAACAUCUUUCUUCUUUUGCAUAUCACACAAAUCAACGAAGCUAUUUAGAUGAGUAGCGGCAUCUUCACUAGGAAGGUCGGCGAAUUGAUCUUUCAUGACAAGAUUCAACAAAGCAGCAUUGAUUUCACAAGAUUCAGUAUCGGUAAGAGGAGCAAUCAGAGUGCUAAGGAAAUCAUUAUUGUUGGUAUUGGUAAAGUCACACAAUUUGGUAUUAUCUUGAGCCAUCGUGACAAACAAGCAACCCAACACACGAGCAAACAAAAAGCAAGCAAAAAAGAGGCGAACGAAAAAGAGAGGGUGAAUAAAACGGCAAGGGUGAAGUGGGGGAGAGGAAAACGAGAGGCAAAUGGCAAAUAAUGUAAUGCGGGAGAUAACGGUUUGUGAUGGGUCCUUGGUAUGUUGACUUUUGCGUAGACCUCCCCGGCAACGGCGCCAGAAAUCCUUCUUGCUACCUCUUGAGCACUGCGUUGGUUUUCCCUUGAAGAGGAAAGGGUGAUGCAGCAAAGUAGCCUAAGUACAGUUUUUGAGAACCAAGGUAUCAAUCCAGUAGGAGGCUACACACGAGUCCCUCACACCUACACAAACGAAUAAAUCCUCGCAACCAACGCGAUAAGGGGUUGUCAAUCCCUACACGGUCACUUACGAGAGUGAGAUCUGAUAGAUAUGAUAAGAUAAUAUUUUUGGUAUUUUUGUGAUAAAGAUGCAAAGUAAAGAAAGUAAAAUAAAAACGGCGCUAGAAAUAGCUAAGUGUUGGAAGAUUAAUAUGAUGGAAAAUAGACCCGGGGGCCAUAGGUUUCACUAGUGGCUUCUCUCGAGAGCAUAAGUAUUUACGGUGGGUGAACAAAUUACUGUUGAGCAAUUGACAGAAUUGAGCAUAGUUAUGAGAAUAUCUAGGCAUGAUCAUGUAUAUAGGCAUCACGUCCGAAACAAGUAGACCAGCUCCUGCCUGCAUCUACUACUAUUACUCCACACAUCGACCUCUAUCCAGCAUGCAUCUAGAGUAUUAAGUUCAUAAGAACAGAGUAACGCUUUAAGCAAGAUGACAUGAUGUAGAGGGAUAAACUCAUGCAAUAUGAUAUAAACCCCAUAUUGUUAUCGUCGAUGGCAACAAUACAAUACGUGCCUUGCUGCCCCUACUGUCACUAGGAAAGGACACCGCAAGACUGAACCCAAAGCUAAGCACUUCUCCCAUUGCAAGAAAGAUCAAUCUAGUAGGGCAAACCAAACUGAUAAUUCGAAGAGACUUGCAAAGAUAACCAAUCAUACAUAAAAGAAUUCAGAAGAUUCAAAUAUUGUUCAUAGAUAAACUUGAUCAUAAACCCACAAUUCAUCGAUCUCAACAAACACACCGCAAAAGAAGAUUACAUCGAAUAGAUCUCCACAAGAGAGGGGGAGAACAUUGUAUUGAGAUCCAAAAAGAGAGAAGAAGCCAUCUAGCUAAUAACUAUGGACCCGAAGGUCUGACGUAAACUACUCACACUUCAUCGGAGAGGCUAUGGUGUUCAUGUAGAAGCCCUCCGUGAUCGAUGCCCCCUCCGGCGGAGCUCCGGAACAGGCCCCAAGAUGGGAUCUCACGGGUACAGAAGGUUGCAGCGGUGGAAUUAGGUUUUUAGCUGCGUAUCUGAUCGUUUGGCGGUACGUAGGUAUAUAUAGGAGGAAGGAGUACGCCGGUGGAGCAACGUGGGGCCCACGAGGGUGGAGGGCGCGCCCAGGGGGUAGGCGCACCCCCUACCUCGUGGCUUCCUGGUAGCUUUCUUGAUGUAGGGUCCAAGUCCUCUGGAUCAUGUUCGUUCCGAAAAUCAUGUUCCCGAAGGUUUCAUUCCGUUUGGACUCCGUUUGAUAUUCUUUUUCUGCGAAACUCUGAAAUAGGCAAAAAAACAGCAAUUCUGGGUUGGGCCUCCGGUUAAUAGGUUAGUCCCAAAAAUAAUAUAAAAGUGCAUAAUAAAGCCCAAUAAUGUCCAAAACAGAAGAUAAUAUAGCAUGGCGCAAUCAAAAAUUAUAGAUACGUUGGAGACGUAUCAAGCAUCCCCAAGCUUAAUUCCUGCUCGUCCUCGAGUAGGUAAAUGAUAAAAACAGAAUUUUUGAUGUGGAAUGCUACUUGGCAUAAUUUCAAUGUAAUUCUUCUUCAUUGUGGUAUGAAUAUUCAGAUCCGAAAGAUUCAAGAUAAAAGUUCAAUAUUGACAUAAAAUAGUAAUACUUCAAGCAUACUAACUAAGCAAUUAUGUCCUCUCAAAAUAACAUGGCCAAAGAAAGUUCAUCCCUACAAAAUCAUAUAGUUUAGUCAUGCCCCAUUUUCGUCACACAAGAAUGCUCUCAUCAUGCACAACCCCGAUGACAAGCCAAGCAAUUGUUUCAUACUUUAGUAAUCUCAAACUUUUUCAACCUUCACGCAAUACAUGAGCGUGAGCCAUGGAUAUAGGACUAUGGGUGGAAUAGAAUAUAAUGAUGGGGGUUAGGUGGAGAAGACAAAAAAGGAGAAAGUCUCACGUCAGCGAGGCUAAUCAAUGAGCUAUGGAGAUGCCCAUCGAUUGAUGUUAAUGCAAGGAGUAGGGAUUGCCAUGCAACGGAUGCACUAGAGCUAUAAAUAUAUGAAAGCUCAACAAAAGAAACUAAGUGGGUGUGCAUCCAACUUGCUUGCUCACGAAGACGUAGGGCACUUGAGGAGGCCCAUUGUUGGAAUAUACAAGCCAAGUUCUAUAAUGAAAAAUUCCCACUAGUAUAUGAAAGUGACAAAACAAGAGACUCUCUAUCAUGAAGAUUAUGGUGCUACUUUGAAACACAAGUGUGGUAAAAGGAUAGCAACAUUGUCCCUUCUCUCUUUUUCUCUCAUUUUUUUGGACCUUCUCUUUUUUUAUGGCCUUUCUUUCUCGUUUUUUUUAUUCCUCACUUGGGACAAUUCUCUAGAAAAUUAUGAGCAUCACACUUCUAUUUAUUUACAACUCAAUGAUUACAACUCGAUACUAGAACAAAGUAUGACUCUAUAUGAAUGCCUCCGGCGGUGUACCGGGAUAUGCAAUGAACCAAGAGUGACAUGUAUGAAAGAAUUAUGAACAGUGGCUUUGCCACAAAUACUAUGUCAACUACAUGAUCAUGCAAAGCAAUAUGACAAUGAUGAACGUGUCAUGAUAAACAGAACGGUGGAAAGUUGCAUGGCAAUAUAUCUCGGAAUGGCUAUGGAAAUGCCAUAAUAGGUAGGUAUGGUGGCUGUUUUGAGGAAGAUAUAAGGAGGUUUAUGUGUGAAAGAGUGUAUCAUAUCACGGGGUUUGGAUGCACCGGCGAAGUUUGCACCAACUCUCAAUGUGAGAAAGGGCAAUGCAUGGUACCGAAGAGGCUAGCAAUGAUGGAAAGGUGAGAGUGCGUAUAAUCCAUGGACUCAACAUUAGUCAUAAAGAACUCACAUACUUAUUGCAAAAAUCUACAAGUCAUCAAAAACCAAGCACUACGCGCAUGCUCCUAGGGGGAUAGAUUGGUAGGAAAAGACCAUCGCUCGUCCCCGACCGCCACUCAUAAGGAGGACAAUCAAAGAACACCUCAUGUUUCAAAUUUGUUACAUAACGUUUACCAUACGUGCAUGCUACGGGACUUGCAAACUUCAGCACAAGUAUUUCUCAAAUUCACAACUACUCAACUAGCACAACUUUAAUAUCACUACCUCCAUGUCUGAAAAAAAGCAUCAAACUUCUCUUAGUAUUCAAAACACUCAUAAGAAAGUUUUUACUAUUCUUAAAUACCUAGCAUAUUAGGAUUAUUUAAGCAAAUUACCAUGCUAUUUGAGACUCUCAAAAUAAUCUAAGUGGAGCAUGAGAGAAUAAUAGUUUCUAUAAAACAAAUCCACCACCGUGCUCUAAAAGAUAUAAGUGAAGUACUAGAGCAAAAACAAUAUAACUCAAAAGAUAUAACUGAAGCAUAUAGAGUAUUGUAAUAAUUUCCGAAUCAUGUGUGUCUCUCUCAAAAGUUGUGUACAGCAAAGAUGAUUGUGGUAAACUAAAAAGCAAAGACUCAAAUCAUACAAGACGCUCCAAGCAAAACACAUAUCAUGUGGUGAAUAAAAAUAUAGCUCCAAGUAAAGUUACCGAUGGAAGUAGACGAAAGUGGGGAUGCCUUCCGGGGCAUCCCCAAGCUUUGGCUUUUAGGUGUCCUUAGAUUAUCUUGGGGGUGCCAUGGGCAUCCCCAAGCUUAGGCUCUUGCCACUCCUUGUUCCAUAAUCCAUCAAAUCUUUCACCCAAAACUUGAAAACUUCACAACACAAAACUCAGCAGAAAAUCUCGUGAGCUCCGUUAGCGAAAGAAAACAAAAGACCACUUCAAGGUACUGUAAUGAACUCAUUCUUUAUUUAUAUUGGUGUUAAACAUACUGUAUUCCAACUUCUCUACGGUUUAUAAACUAUUUUACUAGCCAUAGAUUCAUCAAAAUAGGCAAACAACACACGAAAAACAGAAUCUGUCAAAAACAGAACAGUCUGUAGUAAUCUGUAAGUAACGCAAACUUCUGGAACUCCAAAAAAUCAGCUAAAAUAGGACGUCCUAAAAACUUUGUUUAUUGAUCAGUAGCAAUUGGAAUCAAUAUUUUAUCACGUUCUGGUGAUUUUUAACAAUUAUUUUUGUGAACAGAAAGUUUCUGGAAUUUUCUGCAAGAUCAAAUAACUAUCAUCCAAGAAGAUCCUAUAGGUUUAACUUGGCACAAACACUAAUUAAAACAUAAAAACACAACUAACCACAGGCUCGAACAAAUAUUUAUUCCUAAACAGAAGCAAAAAGCAAAAAACUAAAAAUAAAAUUGGGUUGCCUCCCAACAAGCGCUAUCGUUUAACGCCCCUAGCUAGGCAUAAAAGCAAGGAUAGAUCUAGGUAUUGCCAUCUUUGGUAGGAAAUCCAUAAGUGGCUCUCAUGAUAGAUUCAUAUGGUAAUUUUAUUUUCUUUCUAGGGAAGUGUUCCAUGCCUUUCUUUAAUGGAAAUUGGAAACUAAUAUCCCCUUCCUUCAUAUCAAUAAUUGCACCAAUCGUUAUAAGGAAAGGUCUACCAAGAAUAAUAGGACAUGAAGGAUUGCAAUCUAUAUCAAGAACAAUAAAAUCUACAGGCACAUAGUUACUAUUUGCAGCAAUAAGAACAUCAUUAAUUCUUCCCAUAGGUUUCUUAAUAGUGGAAUCCGCAAGGUGCAAGUUUAAAGAGCAAUCAUCAAAAUCACGGAAACCUAGCAAAUCACACAAAGUUUUUGGAAUCGUGAAAACACUAGCACCGAAAUCACACAAAGCAUAGCAUUCAUGAUCUUUAAUUUUAAUUUUAAUAGUAGGUUCCCACUCAUCAUAGAGUUUUCUAGGAAUAGAAACUUCCAACUCAAGUUUUUCUUCAUAAGAUUGCAUCAAAGCAUCAACAAUAUAUAUGUUUGGUAAAGGCUUUAUUUUGACUAUAAGCAUGAGUAGAAUUUAGCACGGAUUGCAACAAGGAAAUACAAUCUAUCAAAGAGCAAUUACCAUAAUUAAAUUCCUAGAAAUCCAAAAUAGUGGGUUCAUUAAUAUCUAUUGUUUUGAUCUCUUCAAUCCCACUUUUAUCAAUUUGAGCAUCAAGAUCUAAAAACUCCGAAUUUCUGGAACGCCUUCUAGGUAAAGGUGGAUCAUAUUCAGUGCCAUCAUUAUCAAGAUUCAUAUUGCAAAACAAAGAUUUAAUAGGGGACACAUCAAUAACCUUUAGAUCUUCAUCUUUAUUUUCAUAGAAACUAGAAGAACACGCUUUCAUAAAGCAAUCUUUCUUAGCACGCAUCCUAGCGGUUCUUUCUUUGCACUCAUCAAUGGAAAUUCUCAUGGCUUUGAGAGACUCAUUGAUAUCAUGCUUAGGAGGAAUAGAUCUAAGUUUUAAAGAAUCAACAUCAAGAGAAAUUCUAUCAACGUUCCUAGCCAAUUCAUCAACUUUAAGCAAUUUCUCUUCAAGGAAAGCAUUGAAAUUCUUUUGCGAAUUCAUAUAUUCCUUAACACUAGUCUCAAAUUCAGUGGGCAUCUUAUUAAAAUUUCCAUAAGAAUUGUUGUAGGAAUUACCAUAAUUAUUAGAGGAAUUACUAGGAUAAGGCCUAGGAUUAAAGUUUCCUCUAUACGCGUUGUUACCAAAAUUAUUCCUACCAACAAAAUUUACAUCCAAAGAUUCAUUAUUAUUCUCAAUCAAAGUAGACAAAGGCAUAUCAUUAGGAUCAGAAGAAACACUCUUAGUAGCAAAUAAUUUCAUAAGUUCAUCCAUCUUUCCACUCAAAACAUUAAUUUCUUUUAUCGCAUGCACUUUUUUAUUAGUAGAUCUUUCAGUGUGCCAUUGAGAAUAAUUAACCAUAAUAUUAUCUAGGAGUUUAGUAGCUUCUCCUAAAGUGAUUUCCAUAAAAGUGCCUCCCGCGGCCGAAUCUAAAAAAUUUCUAGAAGCAAAAUUCAAUCCGGCAUAAAAAAUUUGUAUAAUCAUCCACAAAUUCAAACCAUUUGUGGGGCAAUUACGUAUGAUUAAUUUCAUCCUCUCCCAUGCUUGUGCAACAUGUUCACGAUCGAGUUGCUUAAAAUUCAUAAUAUUGUUUCUAAGAGAGAUAAUCUUAGCGGGAGGAAAAUACUUAGAGAUAAAAGCAUCUUUGCACUUAUUCCAAGAAUCAAUACUAUUUUUAGGCAAAGACGAAAACCAAGCUUUAGCACGAUCUCUAAGCGAAAAAGGAAAUAGCUUCAAUUUAACAAUAUCAUUGUCAACAUCUUUCUUCUUUUGCAUAUCACACAAAUCAACGAAGCUAUUUAGAUGAGUAGCGGCAUCUUCACUAGGAAGGCCGGCGAAUUGAUCUUUCAUGACAAGAUUCCAACAACACCCACACACUUGUCUGACACACUGACCCUCAUAAUAGUUAUUCUGAACUCAUUCUGCAAAUACUGGAAAACGGGGUAGGGAAUAAUAAAAGGCCAAACCAACUGUGCAUGCUGCGAUCAUAAAUAGCAACGUCACUCAAAGCACGAAACCAUGGGGACUUCAGUGCUGGGCGGGUGGGUGGUAGACUGGAUCACUGGAGUCAGUGGUGUCCGUGGUAUCCACCGCCACCGCCGCCGCCGUAGGUGGGCAUGGGAGGGACGGGGUGGUAGUCUGGGUGGGGCUGCGGCUUCGGCUCCGGCUUGGGCACGGGGUGGUAUUCCGGGUGAGGCUGGGGCUUGGGCUCCGGUUUCGGUGGCACCGGCUUCUUGUGGUGGAAGUGCUCGAUGAUGUGCUUCUUGAUCGGCCCGCACAGGGUCAUGGACGCACACUCGGGCGACGCCACGGAUGGCGUGGCGGUGUUGGCGCCGGCGAUGACACCGAAGGUGGUGCCCUCGGACACCGGCACGAUCUUGGAUGGCUCCUGGCCGGGGCACGACGCGUUGGAUGCGGCGCUGUGGAGCUGAGCCACGCAGUCGGCGCCAUGGAGGUCAGAAGCGAGGGGCACGCUGAAGGCGCCGGUGCCGUCGAGGGAACCCACCGCCUUGCUCUCGUACUCGCCGUCGACGUUCUUGCACUUGAUCGCCACCUGUAGACCUGAGGUACGUUGACAGGAUGACAACCAUGAUCAGAUCUCCAUCUAUAUAGGUGUGUGCAUUGACAUAUAUAGUACGAUUGAGGUGCAUAUCUUACCCUUGAAGGCUUCCUCGGCCUUCAUGUUCUUCCUGGUGCAGUCGGCGCACUUGGCCAGGCCGAUGACCACCGACGUCGCCUCCGCGUUGGCGAUGGCAAUCACGAGCAGGACGGCGAGGACGAGCGCUCUCGGAGCUGCCAUGCCUGAACCUCUACCACUUGUUUGCUUGUGUGAAGUGGCUGGUCGAUGAAUGGAUGGAUGGAACAGGCGACGCAUGGCUUAUAUAGGCCUCGGCAUUGAUCGAUCCAGCUCGGUGGAUGAUCUGGCUGCAUGUUCGCCGGGUGGCCGGCGAAGUGAUGCGUGACAACGAGAGACCGGCUAACUCGCCGAAAUCUCAGAUGGCGAGUUUAAUACCGCGCCCGCUGCAUGAUCGGAUCGGUCGGUGCGUGUGCCUCCACGUCGCGCGCGGUUGGUGAUCGACUUGGUUUGGUGGAGUACGUAGGUAGGCACCGGCCGCGUCUCUCAAUCGACAUGCACAUGCAUUUGCGUGCGUGCAUGCAUGCAACGCAAGUACUAGUAGACUAGUAGUACCCGGCCUGUUUGCUGGUGCUAAGCUGGUGUUGGAUCGACAUCAGAAUUGCUGUAAAGUGUAUGUCCAUUUUGGGGAGUAGGGAGCUUGCGGUACAGUACCAAUGAGCAGUGCUUUGUUGUUCACAAAUACUAGAAUGUUGUAAAAAAAAUGAGCAGUUUCCAGUUAUGUUUAAUCCACGAAAAAACAUAUAGAAGAUGAUCAACGUAUAGUUGACAUGAUAUUCGAACAAGAGAAGUUGGUAAACAGAACAGACAUGCUAUUCGACGGGUAUGGUAAACAUGGCAUGCUAGAUCGAAGGCUAGUAGUAGGUAUUGGAAACUUGGUAGGAAAAAAAUCAGUCUACGGAUCAAGUUCACAUGAUCACUAUGAAGACUGUGCAUACAAGGCUAGAUUUGAUCUUACCAACAACAAGUUGCAUCGGAAAAAGAGUUGGUGAAGAUCGCAUUCUUGAAGUCCCAUGAACAUAUCCUUCGAAGAACCGACAUACGACGGCCCCUCUAUGGAUUGCACACGUAGUAUGAACCCAUCCAAUUUGAGGAUGCAUGUAGCCAAGUGCUAAUUUCAAAACGGAGUAUAAAACCAUCCACGUGUUCAUGGUUUGAGAGUUCCGCGUCUACCUGCUACUCGUUCUACGCUAUAAUAUCUUGUGGCGGGAAAUUUAUUUUCAUCUUUUUGUUCCUCUUUUUGGCAAGCUAGUGAAGCCAAAAAUACCCUAACAUGUUAGGAUUUGACAACCUACACUUAACCAUCAAAACUAGUGGUGCGGAAGACCCUAUAGUCAUUCAAAAGUAACAAGUACACUAGCACUCAACCUAAUGCAUAUCUCUAAUAGAAAUAUUGAACGUUGUAAUAUCAUCAUUCAUCAUUAAGACACGCUAAUCAUAGGAUAGAUAAUUUCUCCCAUGCUCAUGGGGAGCUUUUUUGCAAUUUACGUAUUAUGCAAAAUUGAAAACGAACUAACUCAAUUUUGAGGAAAUAAACAUACGAAAACAGUAAAGAUGCAAGGGCUUAUGAAUCUCCCCAAGCUUAAGCACUAAACUGGCAGGAUCUAAUAAUCCCUCUCAGUCGAUGGUACCACGGGGUUUCUUCUCAGUUGUAGUGGAAGGGUUGUGUGCAAGGGCCUGAUGGAGCAACUCAUUAGUCUUCUCUAGGUCAGCAAUAUGAUGUUGGUUCAUGUGCACAAUUUCAGCUAGGUUGGCAAUGAGCAUGAGCCGGGCGUUGAGAUUGGACUUAGUGUCCUCAUCAAUCUUUUUCUCCAACUGCCUGAGAAGUUCAUGCAAAAGAUCACAGUGGAUGGGUGACCCAUUAGCAUGUACCUCAAGUCAGCAAGUGUGCUCAUGGAUGUUGAUAGGAUGCAGCUUCGGUGCAUAAUUGGGGUUGAUGAGGUACUUCUUCUCCCAUGCCCCAGGCAGCUUGCCAGAUAUGUGAGCCCCAAUAUUGAUCCUCUUGCUGGUGGUGUGGUGUGACAAAGUUAAUUGAUAGUCACCCUCCAACGAUCUAUGGAUGGUAUGGCCAUCCACGACGGCUGGGGUACCCUAAUUUGUAGUGCAGGAUUACUGGAGCUAAUAUGUUUAAGAGAUUCAACUUGAUCAUUGCCUCCUUGGGGACUUCUUCUUCGGAUGAGCUAUCUCCACCUUGAUAUCACAUUUCCAGUCAUGCUUGAGACCUCGUCCCAACGCAUCAGGAGAAGCGUCUUCCAGCUCGAAAUCCUCCUCGUGGAAGGGGCAUAAUACAUGUGGCGGGCUUCCGCCGGCUGCAAAGGUGAUACUCCUCCUAUGAGGUCGUCUAGCACUCGUCCCAUGAGAGUGUCAUGGCCUAAGAGAUGCUUGCCUUUACUUAAAACUUAAUAUGCAACUGGAAUAGAUUCAUUUGUCAAUGGAAAAAGGAGAGGCCUCCCCAAAGGUAUAUAAAGCCGUAAAACCAUCGAAUAUUCAUGACAUUAGGUUUUGGAAAAAGAUUAGGAAAUAACCAAAGAUUUUCGGGAAAGAAUAAGAUAUUUCCGCGGGAUCAUGAGUGAAUAAGUGACGUAUGUUGCCCUUCGGGCAAUCGCCGCUCUGUCCCACCCAGUACAAGGCACCGUACUACUUUGCCACCAAUCAAUAUGAUCAACCCGGCAUGCAGUGAUCAUCGCAGCACUCCAUUGCAUCCUUCGUCUCCGGCCACCCUCCACUGUACAACAUCGACCUCAACAACAAUUAUGUGUUUACCGAGUCGCCGACACUCGUUCGGUUGCGGCUUCCGUCCAAGGAGCCCAUUUCCGGUGGUGCCCAAUCAUUGUUUGGCGGAAUGCCUCCCCAAGCUCGAUGGCGGCGAUCGGGCGACGAGGCAAUGAUGAAUAUGAUCCAUAAUUGUGAUGGCCAUGAAGACGUACAAGUCUAUGACGACUACUCACCGCAUCCAGAGAAAGAGACGUUGACGGACACUCAGUAGUCGCCAGUCCUCGAUGCGGACGGAAAUAAAAAGAGGGAUUUGGCGUACUCAAACAAGGAGGAUAAAUUAUUGUGUUUGACGUGGUUAGGCACAAGCGUUGAACCAUUUCAAGGUAUGGAGAAAAAGGGCUCGACCCUUUGGCAAAGUGUGCACGAUUGGUUUCAUGAGAAAAAGCACUAUGAGCCCUACAACAAGGAAGUCGCUAAGCCAACGAUGGUACAUCAUUCAAGAAGCCAUCAACAAGUAUCAUGGUGUGUAUGCACAAAUAGAAAACUAGUGACUAAGUGGCGCGUCACUUCUCAGAGCUCAUAUUUUUUUCUUCGUGAUGCUCUAUGUGUUAGUCAUUUGAUUGAUUUUCUCUAUGUUGCAACUUGUUGAUCAUGCCAUUGUAUUGCUUUGCUAGCCCAGCCGGGUAGCCACAUUGUACCACAAGACCGAGGGCAAGCUAUUCAUGAAGAUGCAUUGUUGGUAUAAGUUGAAUGCGCAAAGCAAGUGGAGCAAUUUGGAGGAGGCCGGGCUUGCACUAGCCACCCAUGUGGCUAGGUCAAGGGGGAGGAAAUGGGGGGACGAGAAAGGAAGCAAGAAGGGGUGGCGGCCAAGACGAUAGAGAAAUUUGAGGACAUCAUGGUGAAGAAAGAAGAGGGAUGUGCCAAGCACAAUGAGAUCAAGGAGGAAACAGUUCAUGGAAAUCCAAAAGAAGAAGAUUGAGCAUAAGGAUAUGAAGCUUGCGAUCAAGCAAGUGUGUGAGGAGCAAAAGAUCUUAUAUAUACGUGAAGGCUGAUGACUUGGAUCACGACGUGGCCAAGUUUGUUCACGACUUGCAUGAUAGCAUGUACAAACACUUUGUGUAAAAGGAGGCAUUUGGUAUGGUGAGCCGGUUCAUUUGCUUUUGGGGUCGAUAUAUAAAACUCAUUGAGUAUCGGGUGAUUUUGCUAUUGGUUGCAUUUGUUUGCAACUAUUUAAAUGUACAAUCGAAUUGUUAUUGAUCUAGAAAAUUUGACAAAGAGAGAAGGGCGGACAAGUACUUAGGACCAAAUUUGAAGGACACAAUUGCAUGACACAUCCGCUCGGCGGACAGGGAGUGUACUUGAUUGAUCAUGAUAUACUGAUAUAGGAACUUCUCAUUACAAAAAUUCACACCGAUAUUACAAACCUUGUAAAAAAAAACUGACCCAUUACCCGUACAUUUGCCUGACACACAUACUUAUCCCUCACAACUGUUAUUCUGAAUGAUAGAAGAUCAAGCUAACCCGUGACAUAAAUAGCAACGUCGCUCACUCACUGACAGCAACAAGCCAUGAAAUUUCACUGCUAGGCCGGACGGUGGCAGAUCGGAGUCAGUGGUGUCCAUGGUAUCCACCGCCGCCGCUGCCGCCGCCGUAGGUGGGCGUGGGAGGGACGGGGUGGUAGUCCGGGUGGGGCUGCGGCUUGGGCUCGGGCUUGGGCACGGGGCCGUAGUCCGGGUGGGGCUGGGGCUUGGGCUCCGGCUUGGGCGGCACGGGCUUCUUGUGAUGGAAGUGCUCGAUGAUGUGCUUCUUGAUCGGCCCGCACAGGGUCGCCGACGCACACUCUGGCGAUGCCAGCACGUUCGUCUUGGCGCCGGCAACGACCCCGAAGGUGGUGCCCUCAGACACCGGCACGAUCUUUGAUGGCUCCUGGCCGGAGCACGGUGCGUUGGAGGCGGCGCUGUGGAGCUGCGCGACGCAGUCGGCGCUGUGGAGGUCGGCGGCCACGGGCACGCUGAAAGCGCCGGUGCCGUCAAGGGUACCUACUGCCUUGCUCUCGUACUCGCCGUUGACGUUCUUGCACUUGAUCGCCACCUGAAGACCUGAGGUACGUUCAUGGCAGAACAACAGUGAGCAGAGCAACAUCAUGCAUUUACGAAGUGGAGUAUUCUAUCUAAUCUAGCUAGCUAGAGCUUAAUUAGUAGCUUACCCUUAAAGGCUUCCUCUGCCUUGAUGUUCUUCCUGGUGCAGUCGGCGCACUUGGCCAGGCCGACGACGAUGGACGCCGCCUCGGCGUUGGCGAUGGCGAUCACCAGCAGGAAGCCGAGGACGAGUGCUCUUGGAGCUGCCAUGCCUGAACCUCUGAGUCGCAGCCUGUGUGAAGUGGCUGAUGGAUGAA
This 12725-nucleotide long non-coding RNA is filed under the name Triticum aestivum (bread wheat). RNAcentral's name for it is "long non-coding RNA (TAES_LNC023549)". The record is from RNAcentral. Lineage: Eukaryota; Viridiplantae; Streptophyta; Magnoliopsida; Poales; Poaceae.